RNAcentral lists this unclassified non-coding RNA (253 nucleotides) under uncultured Paracoccaceae bacterium. Its description in RNAcentral is "uncultured Rhodobacteraceae bacterium contains 16S-23S intergenic spacer region". It matches the Rfam family "Bacterial small subunit ribosomal RNA", at positions 524 to 776 of the family's 1533-position model. The record is from RNAcentral. Lineage: Bacteria; Pseudomonadati; Pseudomonadota; Alphaproteobacteria; Rhodobacterales; Paracoccaceae.
UACGGAGGGGACAAGCGUUGUUCGGAAUUACUGGGCGUAAAGCGCACGUAGGCGGACUAUUAAGUCAGGGGUGAAAUCCCGGGGCUCAACCCCGGAACUGCCCUUGAUACUGGUAGGCUGGAGUUCUGGAGAGGUGAGUGGAAUUCCGGGUGUAGCGGUGAAAUUCGUAGAGAUUCGGAGGAACACCGGUGGCGAAGGCGGCUCCCUGGCCAGAUACUGACGCUGAGGUGCGAAAGUGUGGGGAGCAAACAGG